This 800-nucleotide ribosomal RNA is filed under the name uncultured bacterium. RNAcentral describes it as "bacterial SSU rRNA". It matches the Rfam family "Bacterial small subunit ribosomal RNA", at positions 8 to 814 of the family's 1533-position model. The record is from RNAcentral.
AGAGUUUGAUCCUGGCUCAGAUUGAACGCUGGCGGCAGGCCUAACACAUGCAAGUCGAGCGGGGUUUUCGGACCUAGCGGCGGACGGGUGAGUAAUGCGUAGGAAGCUACCCGACAGAGGGGGAUACCAGUUGGAAACGACUGUUAAUACCGCAUAAUGCCUACGGACCAAAGUGUGGGACCUUCGGGCCACAUGCUGUCGGAUGCGCCUACAUGGGAUUAGCUAGUUGGUGAGGUAAUGGCUCACCAAGGCGACGAUCCCUAGCUGGUUUGAGAGGAUGAUCAGCCACACUGGAACUGAGACACGGUCCAGACUCCUACGGGAGGCAGCAGUGGGGAAUAUUGGACAAUGGGCGCAAGCCUGAUCCAGCCAUGCCGCGUGUGUGAAGAAGGCCUUCGGGUUGUAAAGCACUCUCAGCGAGGAGGAAGGGUUGUGUGUUAAUAGCACAUAGCCUUGACGUUACUCGCAGAAGAAGCACCGGCUAACUCUGUGCCAGCAGCCGCGGUAAUACAGAGGGUGCAAGCGUUAAUCGGAAUUACUGGGCGUAAAGCGCACGCAGGCGGUUGGUUAAGUCAGAUGUGAAAGCCCCGGGCUCAACCUGGGAAUUGCAUUUGAAACUGGCCAACUAGAGUACGUGAGAGGGGGGUAGAAUUCCAAGUGUAGCGGUGAAAUGCGUAGAGAUUUGGAGGAAUACCAGUGGCGAAGGCGGCCCCCUGGCACGAUACUGACGCUCAGGUGCGAAAGCGUGGGGGAGCAAACAGGAUUAGAUACCCUGGUAGUCCACGCCGUAAACGAUGUCU